This 77-nucleotide transfer RNA is filed under the name Vibrio parahaemolyticus. RNAcentral's name for it is "tRNA-Arg". It matches the Rfam family "tRNA". Rfam says of the family: Transfer RNA (tRNA) molecules are approximately 80 nucleotides in length. Lineage: Bacteria; Pseudomonadati; Pseudomonadota; Gammaproteobacteria; Vibrionales; Vibrionaceae. The record is from RNAcentral.
GCGUCCUUAGCUCAGCUGGAUAGAGUACCUGGCUACGAACCAGGCGGGCCGAGGUUCGAAUCCUCCCAGGCGCCCCA